GACGAACGCUGGCGGCGUGCUUAACACAUGCAAGUCGAACGGAAAGGCCCUGCUUUUGUGGGGUGCUCGAGUGGCGAACGGGUGAGUAACACGUGAGUAACCUGCCCUUGACUUUGGGAUAACUUCAGGAAACUGGGGCUAAUACCGGAUAGGAGCUCCUGCUGCAUGGUGGGGGUUGGAAAGUUUCGGCGGUUGGGGAUGGACUCGCGGCUUAUCAGCUUGUUGGUGGGGUAGUGGCUUACCAAGGCUUUGACGGGUAGCCGGCCUGAGAGGGUGAGCGGGGAAGUUGGGAGGGAUAGUGCGCCGAGACCCAUACGGUGAUGACGAGGGGGGGGGUGUGCACUAUGGGCGGUCGCGUUAUGAAGCGACGCCGCGUGGGAGGUGUCGGGCUUCGCGGUGAUAGACACAGUCGCCCCUGACAACGCGGGAGUGGCGGUAAUGGGAAAAGAUGCAACCACGCACUACUUC
Molecule: ribosomal RNA, 468 nt
Filed under: uncultured bacterium
Lineage: Bacteria
Description: partial 16S ribosomal RNA
Rfam family: Bacterial small subunit ribosomal RNA
Source: RNAcentral